GGCUUGGGGCAGGUGUCAGAGCAGGUCUCAGAGUAAGUCUUCAGACAGGUCUCGGGGAAGGUGAAGGAGCAGGGCUUGGGGCAGAUCUCAGAGCUGGUCUCAGGGCAGGUCUCGGGGAAGGUGAUGGAGCAAGGCUUGGAGCAGAUCUCGGAGCUGGUCUCAGGGCAGGUCUCGGGGAAGGUGAAGGAGCAAGGAUCGGAGCAGAUCUCGGAGCAGGUCUCAGGGCAAGUCCUCAGACAGGUCUCGG
Molecule: long non-coding RNA, 247 nt
Organism: Rhinichthys klamathensis goyatoka
Lineage: Eukaryota; Metazoa; Chordata; Actinopteri; Cypriniformes; Leuciscidae
Exons: 4
Source: RefSeq, a predicted model, not a curated record